RNAcentral lists this ribosomal RNA (449 nucleotides) under uncultured bacterium. Its description in RNAcentral is "bacterial SSU rRNA". It matches the Rfam family "Bacterial small subunit ribosomal RNA", at positions 329 to 794 of the family's 1533-position model. The record is from RNAcentral.
ACCCAGACUCCUACGGGAGGCAGCAGUGGGAAUAUUGGGCAAUGGGCGCAAGCCUGACCCAGCAACGCCGCGUGAAGGAAGAAGGCUUUCGGGUUGUAAACUUCUUUUAAGAGGGAAGAGUAGAAGACGGUACCUCUUGAAUAAGCCACGGCUAACUACGUGCCAGCAGCCGCGGUAAUACGUAGGUGGCAAGCGUUGUCCGGAUUUACUGGGUGUAAAGGGCGUGUAGCCGGGCCGGCAAGUCAGAUGUGAAAUCCCAAGGCUCAACCUUGGAACUGCAUUUGAAACUGUUGGUCUUGAGUAUCGGAGAGGCAGGCGGAAUUCCUAGUGUAGCGGUGAAAUGCGUAGAUAUUCGGAGGAACACCGGUGGCGAAGGCGGCCAACUGGGCUUUAACUGACGCUGAGGCUCGAAAGUGUGGGGAGCAAACAGGAUUAGAUACCCGCGUAAU